This 648-nucleotide ribosomal RNA is filed under the name Triticum aestivum (bread wheat). RNAcentral describes it as "partial small subunit ribosomal RNA". The record is from RNAcentral. Lineage: Eukaryota; Viridiplantae; Streptophyta; Magnoliopsida; Poales; Poaceae.
AUGGGGCAAUUCCAUGGCCAAAAAAAGGGUUCUACUAUAAUCCUUGAAGCGGUGGCCGAUCAGGAGACUUGGAUUUGGCAUGCAUUCUUUGGAAUGCCUGGAUCUUUGAAUGACAUAAAUGUUGUCAACCGGUCAUCACUGAUGAAUAAGAUUGCAAACAGUGAGUUGCCACCUGUGCAGUUUGUAGCAAAUGGUCGUACGUACAAUUAUGGCUAUUAUCUAGCGGAUGACAUCUAUCCAAAGUGGCAAACCUUCGUGAAGCCGUUGAAAAAGCCGGAAGGUAAGAAAUAUCUUGAUUUCCACAAUGCUCAGGCGGCGGCUAGAAAAGAUGUGGAGAGAGCAUUUGGGAUUUUGCAAGCACAAUUUGCUAUUGUAAGAGGACCGGCUAGAUUUUGGGAUCAACAAAUGCUUUGGUACAUCAUGCACGCUUGUGUGAUCAUGCACAACAUGAUCAUCGAGAAUGAGCGUGGCCAAGAUUUAGACUACUCACAGAAUGAACUCCUGGGACAUCCCGUGCGAGUGCGACGGAGGGCUGAAAUGGUAGCCCAUUUUAUUGCCUCCUAUCAUGCUAUUCGGCGUCCCGCAACGCACAAUGAACUUCAGAAUGAUCUGAUUGAAGAGUGGUGGGCAUGGUAUGGACGACAAAGA